This 684-nucleotide ribosomal RNA is filed under the name uncultured Actinomycetes bacterium. RNAcentral describes it as "bacterial SSU rRNA". It matches the Rfam family "Bacterial small subunit ribosomal RNA", at positions 51 to 751 of the family's 1533-position model. The record is from RNAcentral. Lineage: Bacteria; Bacillati; Actinomycetota; Actinomycetes.
ACACAUGCAAGUCGAGCGGAAAGGCCACUUCGGUGGUACUCGAGCGGCGAACGGGUGAGUAACACGUGAGUAAUCUGCCCCCGGCUUCGGGAUAGCCACCGGAAACGGUGAUUAAUACCGGAUAUGACAGACCCUCGCAUGGGGGUGUGUGGAAAGUUUUUCGGCCAGGGAUGUGCUCGCGGCCUAUCAGCUUGAUGGUGAGGUAAUGGCUCACCAUGGCUUCGACGGGUAGCCGGCCUGAGAGGGUGACCGGCCACACUGGGACUGAGACACGGCCCAGACUCCUACGGGAGGCAGCAGUGGGGAAUAUUGGACAAUGGGCGGAAGCCUGAUCCAGCAACGCCGCGUGAGGGAUGACGGCCUUCGGGUUGUAAACCUCUUUCAGUACCGACGAAGCGCAAGUGACGGUAGGUACAGAAGAAGCACCGGCCAACUACGUGCCAGCAGCCGCGGUAAUACGUAGGGUGCGAGCGUUGUCCGGAAUUAUUGGGCGUAAAGGGCUCGUAGGCGGUUUGUCGCGUCGGGAGUGAAAACGCCGUGCUUAACACGGCGCUUGCUUCCGAUACGGGCAGACUAGAGGUAUUCAGGGGAGAACGGAAUUCCUGGUGUAGCGGUGAAAUGCGCAGAUAUCAGGAGGAACACCGGUGGCGAAGGCGGUUCUCUGGGAAUGACCUGACGCUGAGG